UACGUAGGGAGCAAGCGUUGUCCGGAAUCAUUGGGCGUAAAGCGCGCGUAGGCGGCCCUGUAAGUCCGUUGUGAAAGUCAAAGGCUCAACCUUUGAAAGCCGAUGGAUACUGCAGGGCUAGAGUCCGGAAGAGGCGAGUGGAAUUCCUGGUGUAGCGGUGGAAUGCGCAGAUAUCAGGAGGAACACCGGUGGCGAAGGCGGGUCUCUGGGCCGUAACUGACGCUGAGGAGCGAAAGCGUGGGGAGCGAACAGG
RNAcentral lists this ribosomal RNA (253 nucleotides) under uncultured bacterium. RNAcentral describes it as "partial 16S ribosomal RNA". It matches the Rfam family "Bacterial small subunit ribosomal RNA", at positions 524 to 776 of the family's 1533-position model. The record is from RNAcentral.